UCCAAUGUGGUGUAGUGGCUAACAUUGCUGUCUUUCACCUAUUUCGGGUCAGCACAGCAGCCCGGGGUUCGAUUCCCCGCAUUGGAA
Moniliophthora roreri MCA 2997 is the source of this 87-nucleotide transfer RNA. It matches the Rfam family "tRNA". Rfam says of the family: Transfer RNA (tRNA) molecules are approximately 80 nucleotides in length. Their secondary structure includes four short double-helical elements and three loops (D, anti-codon, and T loops). Lineage: Eukaryota; Fungi; Basidiomycota; Agaricomycetes; Agaricales; Marasmiaceae. The record is from Rfam.